UUUUGAAUAUGCUAUAGAUUAAAAUAUUUUCUGAUCAUAACUGCAUAAAUGUUGACCUUUAAACAGUUUAUUCUAGUUCCAAUUCUGUGGGAAGUAUACAGGAUUUAAAUCUUUAAAAAAAUCACAGCAGUGUUUUCAGUUACUAAUAUAUAAUUAAGAUAAUUUCUUUUUUUUAAAAUUAUAGUUUGUUUUGUCAGUCAAAACCAAGGGAGAAGAUUGUUCCCAAGUGGCAUGAAAAGCCCUACGAGUGGAAUCAGUGUCUUCUAUGUGAUGUCCCGGCAAAGAGUCAGACACCAGGAUAACUCACUGCCUGUGAGUUGGGAAAAAAAGGUUGAUCCAAAGCUGGUCAUGGAGCAGGCCGACCACGAGAGCAGCAGAGGGAAGAACACCUUUCUCUACCAGCUCCACAAACUGGUUGUGCUCGGCACCUGAGCGUGUCCACAGGUGGCCUCCAGCACACCCCUCAGGAAGCUGCAGAGGCUGGAUUCCAGGCUCCCUCUGCAGACUGACUUUCCUCUGUGUCUGGGCUUUACAGUCUGUGUCCACUGCAUCCUAAAGGCCUUUUCUUUCUUCUUUUCUCUUUGGGUGAUAGUCAGAGAGUGGUGUUUUUGUUCAGGUGGGAAGGAUUGGA
RNAcentral lists this small RNA (631 nucleotides) under Pongo abelii (Sumatran orangutan). RNAcentral's name for it is "retained intron". Lineage: Eukaryota; Metazoa; Chordata; Mammalia; Primates; Hominidae. The record is from RNAcentral.